This 253-nucleotide ribosomal RNA is filed under the name uncultured bacterium. RNAcentral describes it as "partial 16S ribosomal RNA". It matches the Rfam family "Bacterial small subunit ribosomal RNA", at positions 524 to 776 of the family's 1533-position model. The record is from RNAcentral.
UACGAAGGGGGCUAGCGUUGUUCGGAAUUACUGGGCGUAAAGGGCGCGUAGGCGGCUUGGCAAGUUGGGUGUGAAAGCCCAGGGCUCAACCCUGGAAUUGCACUCAAGACUGCUUUGCUUGAAUUCGGUAGAGGUUGGUGGAAUUCCCAGUGUAGAGGUGAAAUUCGUAGAGAUUGGGAAGAACACCCGUGGCGAAGGCGGCCAACUGGACCGACAUUGACGCUGAGGCGCGAAAGCGUGGGGAUCAAACAGG